GAUGAACGCUGGCGGCGUGCCUAAUACAUGCAAGUCGAGCGAACAGACGAGGAGCUUGCUCCUCUGACGUUAGCGGCGGACGGGUGAGUAACACGUGGAUAACCUACCUAUAAGACUGGGAUAACUUCGGGAAACCGGAGCUAAUACCGGAUAAUAUAUUGAACCGCAUGGUUCAAUAGUGAAAGACGGUUUUGCUGUCACUUAUAGAUGGAUCCGCGCCGCAUUAGCUAGUUGGUAAGGUAACGGCUUACCAAGGUAACGAUGCGUAGCCGACCUGAGAGGGUGAUCGGCCACACUGGAACUGAGACACGGUCCAGACUCCUACGGGAGGCAGCAGUAGGGAAUCUUCCGCAAUGGGCGAAAGCCUGACGGUGCAACGCCGCGUGAGUGAUGAAGGUCUUCGGAUCGUAAAACUCUGUUAUUAGGGAAGAACAAAUGUGUAAGUAACUAUGCACGUCUUGACGGUACCUAAUCAGAAAGCCACGGCUAACUACGUG
Molecule: ribosomal RNA, 497 nt
Filed under: uncultured bacterium
Lineage: Bacteria
Description: partial 16S ribosomal RNA
Rfam family: Bacterial small subunit ribosomal RNA
Source: RNAcentral